RNAcentral lists this ribosomal RNA (1320 nucleotides) under Vibrio vulnificus. Its description in RNAcentral is "partial 23S ribosomal RNA". It matches the Rfam family "Bacterial large subunit ribosomal RNA", at positions 411 to 1736 of the family's 2925-position model. The record is from RNAcentral. Lineage: Bacteria; Pseudomonadati; Pseudomonadota; Gammaproteobacteria; Vibrionales; Vibrionaceae.
AGUAGGGCGGGACACGUGUUAUCCUGUCUGAAUAUGGGGGGACCAUCCUCCAAGGCUAAAUACUCCUGACUGACCGAUAGUGAACCAGUACCGUGAGGGAAAGGCGAAAAGAACCCCUGUGAGGGGAGUGAAAUAGAACCUGAAACCGUGUACGUACAAGCAGUAGGAGCACCUUCGUGGUGUGACUGCGUACCUUUUGUAUAAUGGGUCAGCGACUUAUAUUCAGUGGCAAGGUUAACCAUCUAGGGGAGCCGUAGGGAAACCGAGUCUUAACUGGGCGCCAUAGUCUCUGGAUAUAGACCCGAAACCGAGUGAUCUAGCCAUGGGCAGGUUGAAGGUUGAGUAACAUCAACUGGAGGACCGAACCGACUAAUGUUGAAAAAUUAGCGGAUGACUUGUGGCUAGGGGUGAAAGGCCAAUCAAACUCGGAGAUAGCUGGUUCUCCCCGAAAGCUAUUUAGGUAGCGCCUCGGACGAAUACUACUGGGGGUAGAGCACUGUUAAGGCUAGGGGGUCAUCCCGACUUACCAACCCUUUGCAAACUCCGAAUACCAGUAAGUACUAUCCGGGAGACACACGGCGGGUGCUAACGUCCGUCGUGGAGAGGGAAACAACCCAGACCGCCAGCUAAGGUCCCAAAUUACAGCUAAGUGGGAAACGAUGUGGGAAGGCUUAGACAGCUAGGAUGUUGGCUUAGAAGCAGCCAUCAUUUAAAGAAAGCGUAAUAGCUCACUAGUCGAGUCGGCCUGCGCGGAAGAUGUAACGGGGCUAAGUUGUAAACCGAAGCUGCGGCAAUAUCUUUUAGAUAUUGGGUAGGGGAGCGUUCUGUAAGCCGUUGAAGGUGUGUUGUAAAGCAUGCUGGAGGUAUCAGAAGUGCGAAUGCUGACAUGAGUAACGACAAGGGGGGUGAAAAACCUCCCCGCCGGAAGACCAAGGGUUCCUGUCCAACGUUAAUCGGGGCAGGGUAAGUCGACCCCUAAGGCGAGGCCGAAAGGCGUAGUCGAUGGGAAACGGGUUAAUAUUCCCGUACUUCUUACAAUUGCGAUGGGGGGACGGAGAAGGCUAGGUGGGCCUGGCGACGGUUGUCCAGGUUCAAGUGCGUAGGCUGAGUGUUUAGGUAAAUCCGGACACUCUUAAGGCUGAGACACGACGUCGAGCUACUACGGUAGUGAAGUCAUUGAUGCCAUGCUUCCAGGAAAAGCCUCUAAGCUUCAGAUUGUAAGGAAUCGUACCCCAAACCGACACAGGUGGUCGGGUAGAGAAUACCAAGGCGCUUGAGAGAACUCGGGUGAAGGAACUAGGCAAAAUGGUACCGUAACUU